GACGAACGCUGGCGGCGUGCUUAACACAUGCAAGUCGAGCGGUAAGGCCCUUUCGGGGGUACACGAGCGGCGAACGGGUGAGUAACACGUGGGUGACCUGCCCUCAGCUCUGGGAUAAGCCUGGGAAACCGGGUCCUAAUACUGGAUAUGACUCCAUGACGCAUGUUGUGGGGUGGAAAGCCUUGUGCGGCUGAGGAUGGGCCCGCGGCCUAUCAGCUUGUUGGUGGGGUGAUGGCCUACCAAGGCGACGACGGGUAGCCGGCCUGAGAGGGCGACCGGCCACACUGGGACUGAGACACGGCCCAGACUCCUACGGGAGGCAGCAGUGGGGAAUCUUGCGCAAUGGGCGAAAGCCUGACGCAGCGACGCCGCGUGAGGGAUGACGGCCUCGGUU
This 394-nucleotide ribosomal RNA is filed under the name uncultured bacterium. RNAcentral describes it as "bacterial SSU rRNA". It matches the Rfam family "Bacterial small subunit ribosomal RNA", at positions 28 to 424 of the family's 1533-position model. The record is from RNAcentral.